UACGAAGGGGGCUAGCGUUGUUCGGAAUUACUGGGCGUAAAGCGCGCGCAGGCGGUCUUCCAAGUCAGUGGUGAAAGCCCGGAGCUCAACUCCGGAACUGCCAUUGAAACUGUUGGACUUGAGUACGAGAGAGGUGAGUGGAAUUCCCAGUGUAGAGGUGAAAUUCGUAGAUAUUGGGAAGAACACCGGUGGCGAAGGCGGCGACCUGGUCCAUUACUGACGCUGAGGCGCGAAAGCGUGGGGAGCAAACAGG
Molecule: ribosomal RNA, 253 nt
Filed under: uncultured bacterium
Lineage: Bacteria
Description: partial 16S ribosomal RNA
Rfam family: Bacterial small subunit ribosomal RNA
Source: RNAcentral